CAGUCGCCGCGGUAAUACGUAGGGCGCGAGCGUUGUCCGGAAUUAUUGGGCGUAAAGCGCGCGCAGGCGGAUCAGUUAGUCUGUCUUAAAAGUGCGGGGCUCAACCCCGUGAGGGGAUGGAAACUGUAUGCCUUGAGUGCAGGAGAGGAAAGCGGAAUUCCCAGUGUAGCGGUGAAAUGCGUAGAUAUUGGGAGGAACACCAGUGGCGAAGGCGGCUUUCUGGACUGUAACUGACGCUGAGGCUCGAAAGCCAGGGGAGCGAACGGGAUUAGAUACCCAGUAGUCCCUGUCUCUUAUACAA
This 301-nucleotide ribosomal RNA is filed under the name uncultured bacterium. RNAcentral describes it as "partial 16S ribosomal RNA". It matches the Rfam family "Bacterial small subunit ribosomal RNA", at positions 509 to 809 of the family's 1533-position model. The record is from RNAcentral.